CGGGAAGUAGCUCAGCCAGGUUAGAGUGCACGGUUCGGGACCGUGAGGUCGGGAGUUCGAAUCUCCCCUUCCCGACCA
This 78-nucleotide transfer RNA is filed under the name Candidatus Dormiibacterota bacterium. RNAcentral describes it as "tRNA-Pro". It matches the Rfam family "tRNA". From Rfam's summary of the family: Transfer RNA (tRNA) molecules are approximately 80 nucleotides in length. Their secondary structure includes four short double-helical elements and three loops (D, anti-codon, and T loops). Lineage: Bacteria; Bacillati; Candidatus Dormiibacterota. The record is from RNAcentral. RNAcentral also lists the same sequence under 6 other names.